This 484-nucleotide ribosomal RNA is filed under the name uncultured bacterium. Its description in RNAcentral is "partial 16S ribosomal RNA". It matches the Rfam family "Bacterial small subunit ribosomal RNA", at positions 30 to 507 of the family's 1533-position model. The record is from RNAcentral.
AUUGAACGCUGGCGGCAGGCCUAACACAUGCAAGUCGAGCGGAUGAAGGGAGCUUGCUCCUGGAUUCAGCGGCGGACGGGUGAGUAAUGCCUAGGAAUCUGCCUGGUAGUGGGGGAUAACGUCCGGAAACGGGCGCUAAUACCGCAUACGUCCUGAGGGAGAAAGUGGGGGAUCUUCGGACCUCACGCUAUCAGAUGAGCCUAGGUCGGAUUAGCUAGUUGGUGGGGUAAAGGCCUACCAAGGCGACGAUCCGUAACUGGUCUGAGAGGAUGAUCAGUCACACGGGAACUGAGACACGGUCCAGACUCCUACGGGAGGCAGCAGUGGGGAAUAUUGGACAAUGGGGGAAAGCCUGAUCCAGCCAAGCCGCGUGUGUGAAGAAGGUCUUCGGAUUGUAAAGCACUUUAAGUUGGGAGGAAGGGCAGUAAGUUAAUACCUUGCUGUUUUGACGUUACCAACAGAAUAAGCACCGGCUAACUUCGUG